CUGGAAUUCAAAUGUUCCUAUCAGCCUUUCACGCACCUUUUCUUGGUAUCCACUUGAAUACUGGAAUAGAUUCAAUGGAGGACGGCCUAGGUAGAAAGGGCUAUAGCAAUACAGCAUACCAUAUGAUGACCUCACACUGCCAUCUCGCAUAGAGAAAGAUGAAGAAACUAAGCCUUUAACACUUGAAGUGACAUGACCAUGUUCACACAGCUGGUGUCUGAGGCAAGAACUGAACACAGAUUGGCUAAUUCCAAGGUCUA
Molecule: non-coding RNA, 260 nt
Organism: Phascolarctos cinereus (koala)
Lineage: Eukaryota; Metazoa; Chordata; Mammalia; Diprotodontia; Phascolarctidae
Source: RefSeq, a predicted model, not a curated record